CCCAGGUCAGGCGGGGCUACCCGCUGAAUUUAAGCAUAUCAAUAAGCGGA
This 50-nucleotide ribosomal RNA is filed under the name Silene damboldtiana. RNAcentral's name for it is "partial 26S ribosomal RNA". Lineage: Eukaryota; Viridiplantae; Streptophyta; Magnoliopsida; Caryophyllales; Caryophyllaceae. The record is from RNAcentral.